RNAcentral lists this ribosomal RNA (606 nucleotides) under uncultured Candidatus Saccharibacteria bacterium. RNAcentral describes it as "bacterial SSU rRNA". It matches the Rfam family "Bacterial small subunit ribosomal RNA", at positions 767 to 1397 of the family's 1533-position model. Lineage: Bacteria; Candidatus Saccharimonadota. The record is from RNAcentral.
AGCAACGGGAUUAGAUACCCCGGUAGUCUACGCUGUAAACGAUGGAUACUAGCAGUUUCGGGUUCGACCCCUGGAGUUGCGAAGCUAACGCGUUAAGUAUCCCACCUGUGUAGUACGAUCGCAGAUUAAAACAUAAAGGAAUUGACGGGGACCCGCACAAGCGGUGGAGCGUGAUCUUUAAUUGAUGGUAAACGAUAAACCUUACCAAGGCUUGACAUCUCGGGAAGGCUUCCGAAAGGAAUUGUGCCCUCGGGAACCCGAAGACAGGUGAUGCAUGGCCGUCGUCAGCUCGUGUCGUGAGAUUUUGGUUAAGUCCAUCAACGAGCGCAACCCUUGCAACCAGUUGGAUUUUUCUGGUAGGACGCCCCGGUAACGGGGAGGAAGGAGGGGAUGAUGUCAGGUCAGUAUUUCCCUUACGCCUUGGCUAGAAUCGCGCUACAAUGGCCGGUACAAUGCGAAGCGAAGCAGUGAUGUGAAGCAAACGCACCAAAGCCGGUCCCAGUUCGGAUUGGAGGCUGAAACUCGCCUUCAUGAAGUCGGAAUGCUAGUAAUCGCAGAUCAGCAUGUUGCGGUGAAUACGUUCCCGGGUCUUGUACACACCGCCGU